GUCCCAGCAGCCGCGGUAAUACGUAGGGUGCGAGCGUUAAUCGGAAUUACUGGGCGUAAAGCGUGCGCAGGCGGAUUGUUAAGCAAGACGUGAAAUCCCCGGGCUUAACCUGGGAAUGGCGUUUUGAACUGGCAGUCUAGAGUGCGUCAGAGGGGGGUGGAAUUCCACGUGUAGCAGUGAAAUGCGUAGAGAUGUGGAGGAACACCGAUGGCGAAGGCAGCCCCCUGGGAUGACACUGACGCUCAUGUACGAAAGCGUGGGUAGCAAACAGGAUUAGAUACCCUGGUAGUCCACGCCCUAAACGAUGUCAACUGGUUGUUGGGGGAGUGAAAUCCCUUAGUAACGAAGCUAACGCGUGAAGUUGACCGCCUGGGGAGUACGGUCGCAAGAUUAAAACUCAAAGGAAUUGACGGGGACCCGCACAAGCGGUGGAUGAUGUGGAUUAAUUCGAUGCAACGCGAAAAACCUUACCUACCCUUGACAUGUCCGGAAUCCUGCAGAGAUGCGGGAGUGCCCGAAAGGGAAUCGGAACACAGGUGCUGCAUGGCUGUCGUCAGCUCGUGUCGUGAGAUGUUGGGUUAAGUCCCGCAACGAGCGCAACCCUUAUCAUUAGUUGCUACGCAAGGGCACUCUAAUGAGACUGCCGGUGACAAACCGGAGGAAGGUGGGGAUGACGUCAAGUCCUCAUGGCCCUUAUGGGUAGGGCUUCACACGUCAUACAAUGGUCGGUACAGAGGGUUGCCAAGCCGCGAGGCGGAGCCCAAUCCCAGAAAGCCGAUCGUAGUCCGGAUUGUUCUCUGCAACUCGAGAGCAUGAAGUCGGAAUCGCUAGUAAUCGCGGAUCAGCAUGUCGCGGUGAAUACGUUCCCGGGUCUUGUNCACACCGCCCGUCACACCAUGG
This 900-nucleotide ribosomal RNA is filed under the name uncultured Thiobacillus sp. RNAcentral describes it as "bacterial SSU rRNA". It matches the Rfam family "Bacterial small subunit ribosomal RNA", at positions 505 to 1407 of the family's 1533-position model. Lineage: Bacteria; Pseudomonadati; Pseudomonadota; Betaproteobacteria; Nitrosomonadales; Thiobacillaceae. The record is from RNAcentral.